UCUAGGUAGAAGGAACUGCAUGAGCAAUGCC
Molecule: non-coding RNA, 31 nt
Filed under: Homo sapiens (human)
Lineage: Eukaryota; Metazoa; Chordata; Mammalia; Primates; Hominidae
Source: RNAcentral